This 2832-nucleotide ribosomal RNA is filed under the name Triticum aestivum (bread wheat). Its description in RNAcentral is "partial small subunit ribosomal RNA". The record is from RNAcentral. Lineage: Eukaryota; Viridiplantae; Streptophyta; Magnoliopsida; Poales; Poaceae.
AUGGAGGCCGUGGCGGCGAGCGUCGUGACAGGAGCGAUGCGGAUCCUCCUGCCCAAGCUCGGCGCCCUGCUGGAGAAGAAGUACAAGCUGUCCAAGAGCGUGAAGAAGGAGAUCGCCUCCUUGAGCCACGAGAUGAGCAGCAUGAGCGCUCUGCUCGUGAAGCUAGCCGAGGCGGACGGCGGCGAGCUCGACGUGCAAGACAGGGUGUGGCGCGACCAGGUGCGCGAGCUGUCCUACGAAAUGGAGGACUGCGUCGACGCCUUCACGGACGACCUUGGCAGCGGCGGCGCCAGGGCCGGGCUCUUGAACGGGCUCAUGAAGCUCAAGGCGCGGUACAAGACUGCCCGCUGGAUCGAAGAACUGAAGUCUCGGGUGGUGGAAGUGAACAAGCGCCACAACAGAUACAAGCUUGAUGACCGGGUUGGUUCUUCUUGUCAGAGCCCUGUGGCCAUUGAUCCUCGGCUACCUGCACUCCAUACGGAGGCAGCCAGCCUUGUCGGCAUAGACGGCCCCAAGGAGAAGCUCGUCGACCUGUUGCUGGGAGAGGAGGAGGAAGAUGGCAAUCACCGGGCACUCAAAGUUGUAGCCAUCACGGGGUUUGGAGGUAUUGGCAAGACAACUCUCGCCAGCCAGGUCCGAGAUAAGAUCAAAGGCCACUUUGAACGCACAGCCUUCGUAUCGGUGUCGCAAAAUCCAAGCAUGAUCGACAUCUUGUUGGAUAUACUCUCACAAAUUGGGGGCUUCUUGCAUUCAUCGAUGAAUAAUAAUGUACCCCGACUCAUCAGCACACUGAAGGCACGUCUCGAUAGCAAGAGAUACCUUAUUGUCAUUGAUGAUAUAUGGACAAUACAAGCAUGGAAUACUAUUAAAUGUGCCUUUGUGGAGAAUAACCUUGCUAGUAGAGUUAUAACAACUACACGUAUUGAAGACAUAGCUCAAGCAUGUUGUUCUUGUUUCCGUGGCCAUGUCUACAAGAUGAAACCACUUAAUAAUCUUGACUCAAGGAGAUUAUUUCAUAGAAGGAUUUUCCCCUCCGAAGAUGCUUGUCCGGAGAAACUAAAGAAUGUUUCUAAUGAAAUUCUAAAUAAAUGUGAAGGAGUUCCGUUAGUUAUAGUAAGUGUAGCUAGCAUUUUGGCUAGUCAUAGAGAGGUAAACUCAAAGGAAUUCUGGGAGAAGAUACAAAAUUAUUUAGGUUUCCAAUUGGAAGGAAACCAUGAUUUGGAAUGGCUGAGACAUGUGCUUAAUCUUGGUUACAUUAAUUUAUCUUUGGACCUUCGGACAUGUAUGCUUUAUCUCGGUAUAUUCCCAGAAAAUUCUGAAAUAAUGAAGGAUGAUUUAGUGAAGAGAUGGAUAGCCGAGGGUCUCGUUCCUGAAAGGCUUGGUUAUGGUCAAGAGGAGACCGCAGAAGAUUUCUUUAAUGAGCUGAUCAAUAGAAACAUGAUCCAAAUAGCAGAGUUUGAUGACUGUGGGCAUGUGUUAUCUUGUCGGGUGCAUGAUGUGAUGCUUGACUUUAUCGUAUGGAAGUCCACGGAAGAAAAUUUCAUCAAUAUAAUUAAGGGAACCCCUACAGUUAAUGAUCCGCAAUACAUGAAAGGGUGUUUGCAGGUUCGUCGGUUAUCCCUACAAGUUAGAAAACCGGAACACAUGGAAUUGCUGGGAAGCAUGGCUCUCACGCAGGCCAGAUCAUUUAACUUUUGGGGGUCUGUUCAAUGGAUGCCCUCUCUGUCUAGGUUUCAACUCCUGCGAGUCCUGCAUCUUGACCUUGGUGUUUAUGAUUCCAAAAAUGAGCAGUGUCUGUCUUUCAUUGGCAGUUUUACCCGACUGAGGUAUUUGAGGAUCAUAGGUGCCGUCUUUAAGAAAGUGCAGAAAGAAAUGCAAAAAUUACAACAUUUGAAGACAUUGGAGAUAGUUGGUGAAAAAAGAGUUGGCCAAGACAGAGAGGAGUUUUUACAAUCUUUACACCUAGAGCUCAAUGUCAGCAAGUUACCAUCGAUGCUGUGGCAUCUGAUUGUUCCAUGCACUGUGAAGCUGCCUGGUGAGAUCAGCAGGAUGAGUGCCCUCCGCACUCUGGGCGAACUCAGCAUAGAUCUCCAAGAUGUGGAGAACAUCAAAGGCCUCGGUGAACUGGAAGAUCUGAGGGACCUGAAGAUACUUGUAGAAAAAGGUGUCCGGGAAGGCGAUUGUGCUGAUCUUGUUCCUUCCCUGAGCAGGCUCAAACGCCUUGAGUCCCUAACCAUCCGUAUGGCUGGAUCCGUCAAAAUUAUUGAUGUCCUGACUUGCUGGUCUCCACCUUCUCCCCAUCUUCGAAGACUACAUGUGCUGGGGCUCCCCUUCUCCACUGUCCACCAAAACUGGAUUAGCCAACUCGACAACCUCAGAAGCUUGAAAAUUCAGGUUGUUUCGCUGCCAGAAGAUGGUGCCGAGGUUCUUGCCAGGCUGACCUCGCUGGUUCACCUUACACUGCAUGUUAGCAAGAAUGUUCCCGAGGAAGGCGUCGUCAUCCGCGCCGCAUCUUUCCCAAACCUCAAGGAUUUCGUGUUCAGAUGUGAAGGGAUUUGCCUCGUCUUCGAGGCAGGGGCCAUGCACAAGCUUGAGAGCCUCACCGUGAAGUGCUGCGAAGAAGCAGAGCGGGUACACGGCUGUGCUGAUUUAUUUGGUAGCAUCGGGCAUCUGGGAAGCCUCAUGUCAUUCAAGCUGGAUAUUUACAAGCUGGGUAUUGUUUUGCAAGCCUAUUCUCCUCCACAGCUUCAAACUGGGGGCCUCGACAGUCUCGCGGCCGCGCUCAGGGAGAAAUAUCCGGGGAUUCCUGACAUUCGCAUUCAGCGCAUGUAA